This 400-nucleotide long non-coding RNA is filed under the name Pongo abelii (Sumatran orangutan). RNAcentral's name for it is "lncRNA (ENSPPYG00000039705.1)". Lineage: Eukaryota; Metazoa; Chordata; Mammalia; Primates; Hominidae. The record is from RNAcentral.
GGUGUAAAUAAAGGUGUCAUAAAAAACGGGGCGGGGCGCGCGGUUGUCAGGGGCGCAAGCGUCUCGGGGCUGCCAGAAUGGCUCCCGCUCAGUGCGCGGCGCCAGCGCAUGUCAUGUCCCAGCUGCGCCUCUGGGUCCCAUGGCCCCUCCUCAGAUGUCAGCUCCGCCUCAGGAAUCGACUGAGACUUUGACCGAGACUUUGGUUCCAUUCCUGGACACAGAUUCAGCUGGAGAGCUGGCCCCGGGGCCAGAGCAGUUAGCGGCUGCACACCAGAAUCUGAAUGACAAGCUGACUUGGCAAGAAAGGCUCCCAGAGGUGGUCUCAGUGCUGGACUGGGAUCAGAACCAGACCCUUGCUCGGCCUCCUCGCCUCAAAAGAAUCUUGGUUGCAAUUUACUGA